UCCAGCUCCAAUAGCGUAUAUUUAAGUUGUUGCAGUUAAAAAAGCUCGUAGUUGGAUUUCGGUUGAGAGCGGCCGGUCCGCCGUUUGGUGUGCACUGGCUGGUUUCAACUUCCUGCGGAGGACGCGCUCUGGGGCUUAACGGUCUGGACGUGGAGUCCGCGUGGUUACUUUGAAAAAAUUAGAGUGUUCAAAGCGGGGCU
This 200-nucleotide ribosomal RNA is filed under the name uncultured eukaryote. Its description in RNAcentral is "partial 18S ribosomal RNA". It matches the Rfam family "Eukaryotic small subunit ribosomal RNA", at positions 584 to 787 of the family's 1831-position model. The record is from RNAcentral.